CAGUAGCCGCGGUAAUACGUAGGUGGCAAGCGUUGUCCGGAAUUAUUGGGCGUAAAGGGCUCGCAGGCGGUUUCUUAAGUCUGAUAUGAAAGCCCCCGGCUCAACCGGGGAGGGUCAUUGGAAACUGGGAAACUUGAGUGCAGAAGAGGAGAGUGGAAUUCCACGUGUAGCGGUGAAAUGCGUAGAGAUGUGGAGGAACACCAGUGGCGAAGGCGACUCUCUGGUCUGUAACUGACGCUGAGGAGCGAAAGCGUGGGGAGCGAACAGGAUUAGAUACCCCCGUAGUCCCUGUCUCUUAUAC
This 301-nucleotide ribosomal RNA is filed under the name uncultured bacterium. Its description in RNAcentral is "partial 16S ribosomal RNA". It matches the Rfam family "Bacterial small subunit ribosomal RNA", at positions 509 to 807 of the family's 1533-position model. The record is from RNAcentral.